This 498-nucleotide ribosomal RNA is filed under the name Gordonia sp. enrichment culture clone R_1017-3_OTU6. Its description in RNAcentral is "bacterial SSU rRNA". It matches the Rfam family "Bacterial small subunit ribosomal RNA", at positions 8 to 518 of the family's 1533-position model. The record is from RNAcentral. Lineage: Bacteria; Bacillati; Actinomycetota; Actinomycetes; Mycobacteriales; Gordoniaceae.
AGAGUUUGAUCAUGGCUCAGGACGAACGCUGGCGGCGUGCUUAACACAUGCAAGUCGAACGGAAAGGCCCAGCUUGCUGGGUACUCGAGUGGCGAACGGGUGAGUAACACGUGGGUGAUCUGCCCCUGACUUUGGGAUAAGCCUGGGAAACUGGGUCUAAUACCGGAUAUUCAUUUUUCCUCGCAUGGGGAUUUGUGGAAAGCUUUUGCGGUUGGGGAUGGGCCCGCGGCCUAUCAGCUUGUUGGUGGGGUAAUGGCCUACCAAGGCGACGACGGGUAGCCGACCUGAGAGGGUGAUCGGCCACACUGGGACUGAGACACGGCCCAGACUCCUACGGGAGGCAGCAGUGGGGAAUAUUGCACAAUGGGCGCAAGCCUGAUGCAGCGACGCCGCGUGAGGGAUGACGGCCUUCGGGCUGUAAACCUCUUUCAGCUCCGACGAAGCGCAAGUGACGGUAGGAGCAGAAGAAGCACCGGCCAACUACGUGCCAGCCGCCGA